Molecule: RNA transcript, 417 nt
Organism: Hydra vulgaris (swiftwater hydra)
Lineage: Eukaryota; Metazoa; Cnidaria; Hydrozoa; Anthoathecata; Hydridae
Gene name: arminin 1c
Source: RefSeq, a predicted model, not a curated record
AUAUUUACUGUUUUUAAAAAAACACGCGAUGUUUACCUUUGGCUAGUAUAAAUACUGUUCUACCUUCAUUUCUUAAAAAGUUGAUUUGGAAAAUGAAGCCAGUUUUUGUCAUUUUGUUUUUGACAUGCAUUGCGUUCACAUAUGCAGAAAGCUAUGAGGAUGUGAAAGAAGAAAUUAAAAAUGAAGUUGAAAGAGAAAUAUUUGAAGAUCUUGAAGAGGAAAGUGACGUAUUAGAUAGUAACGUUAGAGAGUUCAAUGAUGCAAAGCCAUGGAGAUUUCGUAGAGCUAUUCAAAGAGUACGAUGGAGAAAAGUUGCUCCUUACAUGCCAUUUGUUGUUAAGACGGUUGGUAAAAAGUAAUGAAAACAACUAAAAUAAAUCUUUUUUUUACAUGAGCUUUAAUAUAACUCGUUUCAAA